RNAcentral lists this ribosomal RNA (466 nucleotides) under uncultured bacterium. RNAcentral describes it as "partial 16S ribosomal RNA". It matches the Rfam family "Bacterial small subunit ribosomal RNA", at positions 28 to 507 of the family's 1533-position model. The record is from RNAcentral.
GAUGAACGCUGGCGGCGUGCUUAACACAUGCAAGUCGAACGAUGAAGCCCAGCUUGCUGGGUGGACUAGUGGCGAACGGGUGAGUAACACGUGAGUAACCUGCCCUUGACUCUGGGAUAAGCCCGGGAAACUGGGUCUAAUACCGGAUAGGAGCGCCUGUCGCAUGACGGGUGUUGGAAAGAUUUUUCGGUGAUGGAUGGACUCGCGGCCUAUCAGCUUGUUGGUGAGGUAAUGGCUCACCAAGGCGACGACGGGUAGCCGGCCUGAGAGGGUGACCGGCCACACUGGGACUGAGACACGGCCCAGACUCCUACGGGAGGCAGCAGUGGGGAAUAUUGCACAAUGGGCGGAAGCCUGAUGCAGCGACGCCGCGUGAGGGAUGACGGCCUUCGGGUUGUAAACCUCUUUCAGUAGGGAAGAAGCGAAAGUGACGGUACCUGCAGAAGAAGCACCGGCUAACUACGUG